RNAcentral lists this non-coding RNA (220 nucleotides) under Bacillus sp. (in: firmicutes). RNAcentral describes it as "Bacillus sp. T-box sequence". It matches the Rfam family "T-box leader". Rfam says of the family: Uncharged tRNA acts as the effector for transcription antitermination of genes in the T-box leader family. T-boxes are found upstream of many aminoacyl-tRNA synthetase genes and some amino acid biosynthetic genes usually in Gram-positive bacteria. The anticodon of a specific tRNA base pairs to a specifier sequence within the T-box motif, and the NCCA acceptor tail of the tRNA base pairs to a conserved bulge in the T-box antiterminator hairpin. RNAcentral also lists the same sequence under 1 other name. Lineage: Bacteria; Bacillati; Bacillota; Bacilli; Caryophanales; Bacillaceae. The record is from RNAcentral.
UUAGUGACUGUGAGAAGGAGCAGUAGUGAUUUUAGUCCCGCCAACAAGAGAGCUGGCGGUUGGUGCAAGCCGGCCGGGACCAUCAUGAACUCGCCUUUGAGUCGCAGGCGUGAAGUGCCAGUAAUGCCUGCCGUUUUCCGCGUUAAGGAUGAAUGAAGCGAGUGUUUACACACUAAUUUGGGUGGUACCGCGGGAAGAUCUCAAUCCUCUCGUCCCUUUA